Molecule: ribosomal RNA, 253 nt
Filed under: uncultured bacterium
Lineage: Bacteria
Description: partial 16S ribosomal RNA
Rfam family: Bacterial small subunit ribosomal RNA
Source: RNAcentral
UACGUAGGGGGCAAGCGUUGUCCGGAUUUAUUGAGCGUAAAGAGCGUGUAGGCGGUUCGGUAGGUCCGUUGUGAAAACUCGAGGCUCAACCUCGAGACGCCGAUGGAAACCAUCUAACUAGAGUCCGGAAGAGGAGAAUGGAAUUCCUGGUGUAGCGGUGAAAUGCGCAGAUAUCAGGAAGAACACCCGUGGCUAAGGCGGUUCUCUAGUACGGUACUGACGCUGAGACGCGAAAGCGUGGGGAGCGAACAGG